RNAcentral lists this ribosomal RNA (459 nucleotides) under uncultured bacterium. Its description in RNAcentral is "partial 16S ribosomal RNA". It matches the Rfam family "Bacterial small subunit ribosomal RNA", at positions 338 to 795 of the family's 1533-position model. The record is from RNAcentral.
CCUACGGGCGGCAGCAGUGAGGAAUAUUGGUCAAUGGUCGGGAGCCUGAACCAGCCAAGCCGCGUGAGGGAGGAAGGUACAGAGUAUCGUAAACCUCUUUUGUCAGGGAACAAAGACUGGGACGCGUCCCCGGAUGAGGGUACCUGAAGAAAAAGCAUCGGCUAACUCCGUGCCAGCAGCCGCGGUAAUACGGAGGAUGCGAGCGUUAUCCGGAUUUAUUGGGUUUAAAGGGUGCGCAGGUGGUCUGUUAAGUCAGCGGUCAAAGCCCGGGGCUCAACCCCGGCGCGCCGUUGAAACUGGCAGUCUCGAGUUGGAGAGAAGUACGCGGAAUGCGCGGUGUAGCGGUGAAAUGCAUAGAUAUCGCGCAGAACUCCGAUUGCGAAGGCAGCAUGCCGGCUCCACACUGACGCUGAGGCACGAAAGCGUGGGUAUCGAACAGGAUUAGAUACCCUUGUAGUC